UUCAGUUAAAUUGAAGCUGAAGUCCUGUCUUUAUUCACAGAACAGGUAUAAGCACAGGCAGCAGCAUAUACUUUCCCAGGUUUACAGUCUGAGCAGUGUACCUCAGACUUUGUUCUGAAGAGAUCACCACUGAGCAACAAGGAUAGUUCAGUCAUGUCCAUUCAGUCCUUAAACUCU
Molecule: small RNA, 177 nt
Filed under: Chrysemys picta bellii (western painted turtle)
Lineage: Eukaryota; Metazoa; Chordata; Testudines; Emydidae
Description: TUC338 (ENSCPBG00000018768.1)
Source: RNAcentral